UAAAUCAUUUCUUCACAGAGCGUCAGGAUGUGUUAUACACUGAAGUGAAGAGUUUGAUGCUCGGUUUGAGUUCUGCGGUAUCAGCGCUGACAUCCAAACUAAAUGAUGCAGUUGGCAAGCAGGACCAGAAACAGACUGAAACAAAAAAAUUAUUAGAUAGUUUGAGCUCAUCUGUUACUUCUCUACAGUCUGAUCAACAAAAGAAGCAGCGUGACUUUGAGUCUCUGUCGAGCUCACUGAGGGACCUGAAGAGUUCAGUUUCAGAUCUUACUACUUCUGUCGCAUCUAUUUCUUCUCGACUAUCCAUCAGCAAGCAGGAUGUGUCGCAAAGUGACAUAAAGAGUUUGAUGAACAGUUUGAGUUCUGCAGUGUCAGCACUGACGGCGCAGCUGAAUGAUGCAGGUGUGGAAAUCUUUCAAUAACAUCACAUAAAUAUUAUUAUCUGUGGAUUUUUAAACUGCAGUCCUUUUUCCCUCCCAG
This 480-nucleotide long non-coding RNA is filed under the name Sinocyclocheilus grahami. RNAcentral's name for it is "lncRNA (ENSSGRG00000041303.1)". Lineage: Eukaryota; Metazoa; Chordata; Actinopteri; Cypriniformes; Cyprinidae. The record is from RNAcentral.